Molecule: long non-coding RNA, 728 nt
Filed under: Aotus nancymaae (Ma's night monkey)
Lineage: Eukaryota; Metazoa; Chordata; Mammalia; Primates; Aotidae
Description: lncRNA (ENSANAG00000039140.1)
Source: RNAcentral
GCUACUGCAGCAUAUGGCCACCAGCCCAAGUGAAACAAAACGUUGUUUUAAAACGAGUUAUGUAUUCAUAAUGUCCACUCAUUGUUUUGUAAUCUCUGCUCUCUCUGUGGUUAUGUCUUCCUAUUAAUUUCUGAUACUAAUUUUGUAAUUUCCCUCUUUUCUUGAUAAAUCUCACCAAUGACUUGUGUACUAGACUUUUCUUGGAAACAACUGUCAGCUUCCAUCCACUGCUGUGGCAUCGUCCACGGCUGGGGCAUCAUCCACAACUGGGUCAUCAUCCACGGCUGGGGCGUCAUCCACGGCUGAGUCAUCCACGGCUGGGGCAUCAUCCACUGCUGGGUCGUCAUCCACGGCUGAGUCAUCAUCCACGGCUGGGGCAUCAGGGGCAUCAUCCACGGCUGGGUCUUCAUCCAUGCUGGGUCAUCAUCCACUGCUGGGCAUCCACAGCUGGGGCAUCAUCCACGCCUGGGGCAUCAUCCACAACUGGGUCGUCAUCUAUGGCUGAAUCAUCAUUCACGGCUGUGGCAUCAGGGGCAUCAUCCAUAGCUGGGUCACCAUCCACGCUGGGUCGUUAUCCACGACUGGGGCAUCCACGCCUGGGGCAUCAUCCAAGGCUGGGGCAUCAUCCACGGCUGGGGCAUCAUCCACUGCUGGAGUAUCAUCCACGGCUGGGGCAUCAUCCACGGCUGGGCAUCAUCCACGGCUGAGUUCGUCUUCCACAGCUGGGG